GUGGGGAAUAUUGCACAAUGGGCGCAAGCCUGAUGCAGCCAUGCCGCGUGUGUGAAGAAGGCCUUCGGGUUGUAAAGCACUUUCAGCGAGGAGGAAGGGUAAUGUGUUAAUAAGACAUUGCAUUGACGUUACUCGCAGAAGAAGCACCGGCUAACUCCGUGCCAGCAGCCGCGGUAAUACGGAGGGUGCAAGCGUUAAUCGGAAUUACUGGGCGUAAAGCGCACGCAGGCGGUUUGUUAAGUCAGAUGUGAAAUCCCCGCGCUCAACGUGGGAACGGCAUUUGAGACUGGCAAGCUAGAGUCUUGUAGAGGGGGGUAGAAUUCCAGGUGUAGCGGUGAAAUGCGUAGAGAUCUGGAGGAAUACCGGUGGCGAAGGCGGCCCCCUGGACAAAGACUGACGCUCAGGUGCGAAAGCGUGGGGAGCAAACAGG
This 430-nucleotide ribosomal RNA is filed under the name uncultured Serratia sp. Its description in RNAcentral is "bacterial SSU rRNA". It matches the Rfam family "Bacterial small subunit ribosomal RNA", at positions 354 to 776 of the family's 1533-position model. Lineage: Bacteria; Pseudomonadati; Pseudomonadota; Gammaproteobacteria; Enterobacterales; Yersiniaceae. The record is from RNAcentral.